Molecule: small RNA, 28 nt
Filed under: Bombyx mori (domestic silkworm)
Lineage: Eukaryota; Metazoa; Arthropoda; Insecta; Lepidoptera; Bombycidae
Description: ovarian small RNA-25269
Source: RNAcentral
UCACGAUUACGUCAGCCACCUGAAAACC